This 393-nucleotide long non-coding RNA is filed under the name Callithrix jacchus (white-tufted-ear marmoset). RNAcentral's name for it is "lncRNA (ENSCJAG00000076161.1)". Lineage: Eukaryota; Metazoa; Chordata; Mammalia; Primates; Cebidae. The record is from RNAcentral.
ACCACAAGAACGUUGAUCAUAAGAGACAAAGAUUGCUUUCAUACCUGAAACAGCUUGGAGUAAGCAUUUUGGACACAGAAGAAAGAACGCUCAUAGUGGGAAAUAACUGGAUAAUAAUUUAACAUUUCUAGAGCCAGGCCGAUGUCAACAAAGUGCAAACAGUCACUCGUAUUACUAAGCACCUAUCCAUUGGGUUGAAUAGAACAACUUCUGUUUGAUUUGACUCACCAGCAACAUUCCAAUGAUGUAGAAAGUCAGAGGAAUCCGAGAAAGAAAUUAAAAAGCCUUCAUAAUCCGGGAGCUAGAGGUAGCCACAAUGGCCAUUUGGCAGCUGGAGAGGGUCUCCACAGCAGAACACUGCGGCUGGAGGUGAGGAAGGAGUGGCGUAAGUGA